Molecule: small RNA, 160 nt
Filed under: Lachnospiraceae bacterium
Lineage: Bacteria; Bacillati; Bacillota; Clostridia; Lachnospirales; Lachnospiraceae
Description: Clostridiales-1 RNA
Rfam family: Clostridiales-1 RNA
Source: Rfam by way of RNAcentral
UGAUGUCAGGGUUCAAAGGUACAAAUCCGAUUGUGCCUGCACAAAGAGGAUUUGGAACCUGGGACCCGCUAAACACGAGCAAGUAGCGUUAUUGCGCGGAUUGCGAGUGUUUUAGAAGCGCGAAAGCUGCUGCAUGGCAGCGAAGCGAUUCGUGACAUCA